RNAcentral lists this ribosomal RNA (395 nucleotides) under uncultured bacterium. RNAcentral describes it as "partial 16S ribosomal RNA". It matches the Rfam family "Bacterial small subunit ribosomal RNA", at positions 523 to 917 of the family's 1533-position model. The record is from RNAcentral.
AUACGGAGGGUGCAAGCGUUAAUCGGAAUUACUGGGCGUAAAGCGCACGCAGGCGGUCAAUUAAGUCAGAUGUGAAAGCCCCGAGCUUAACUUGGGAAUUGCAUCUGAAACUGGUUGGCUAGAGUCUUGUAGAGGGGGGUAGAAUUCCACGUGUAGCGGUGAAAUGCGUAGAGAUGUGGAGGAAUACCGGUGGCGAAGGCGGCCCCCUGGACAAAGACUGACGCUCAGGUGCGAAAGCGUGGGGAGCAAACAGGAUUAGAUACCCUGGUAGUCCACGCUGUAAACGAUGUUGAUUUAGAGGUUGUGGUCUUGAACUGUGGCUUCUGGAGCUAACGCGUUAAAUCGACCGCCUGGGGAGUACGGCCGCAAGGUUAAAACUCAAAUGAAUUGGCGGG